UCCAAGCACAUUGGGUUCAGAACAGGG
RNAcentral lists this non-coding RNA (27 nucleotides) under Mus musculus (house mouse). Lineage: Eukaryota; Metazoa; Chordata; Mammalia; Rodentia; Muridae. The record is from RNAcentral.